RNAcentral lists this ribosomal RNA (530 nucleotides) under uncultured bacterium. RNAcentral's name for it is "bacterial SSU rRNA". It matches the Rfam family "Bacterial small subunit ribosomal RNA", at positions 356 to 896 of the family's 1533-position model. The record is from RNAcentral.
GGGGAAUAUUGCACAAUGGGCGAAAGCCUGAUGCAGCGACGCCGCGUGCGGGAUGACGGCCUUCGGGUUGUAAACCGCUUUCAGCAGGGAAGAAGCGCAAGUGACGGUACCUGCAGAAGAAGCGCCGGCUAACUACGUGCCAGCAGCCGCGGUAAUACGUAGGGCGCGAGCGUUAUCCGGAAUUAUUGGGCGUAAAGAGCUCGUAGGCGGUUUGUCGCGUCUGCUGUGAAAGCCCGGGGCUUAACUCCGGGUGUGCAGUGGGUACGGGCAGACUAGAGUGCAGUAGGGGAGACUGGAAUUCCUGGUGUAGCGGUGAAAUGCGCAGAUAUCAGGAGGAACACCGAUGGCGAAGGCAGGUCUCUGGGCUGUUACUGACGCUGAGGAGCGAAAGCAUGGGGAGCGAACAGGAUUAGAUACCCUGGUAGUCCAUGCCGUAAACGUUGGGCACUAGGUGUGGGGGACAUUCCACGUUUUCCGCGCCGUAGCUAACGCAUUAAGUGCCCCGCCUGGGGAGUACGGCCGCAAGGCUA